This 325-nucleotide ribosomal RNA is filed under the name uncultured eukaryote. RNAcentral's name for it is "partial 18S ribosomal RNA". It matches the Rfam family "Eukaryotic small subunit ribosomal RNA", at positions 1470 to 1796 of the family's 1831-position model. The record is from RNAcentral.
CCCUUAGAUGUUCUGGGCCGCACGCGCGCGACACUGAUGCAUUCAACGAGCCUAUCCUUGACCGACAGGUCCGGGUAAUCUUUGAAUCUGCAUCGUGACGGGGAUAGAUUAUUGCAAUUAUUAAUCUUCAACGAGGAAUGCCUAGUAGGCGCAAGUCAUCAGCUUGCGUCGAUUACGUCCCUGCCCUUUGUACACACCGCCCGUCGCUCCUACCGAUUGGGUGUGCUGGUGAAAUGUUCGGAUCGGCCGUUUGUCGCGGUUUCCGCGGCUCGUGGCUGAGAAGUUCAUUAAACCCUCCCACCUAGAGGAAGGAGAAGUCGUAACA